UAACCUGCCCAAGAGAUCGGGAUAACACCUGGAAACAGAUGCUAAUACCGGAUAAUAACAGAUGAUGCCUAUCAACUGUUUUAAAAGAUGGUUCUGCUAUCACUCUUGGAUGGACCUGCGGUGCAUUAGCUAGUUGGUAGGGUAACGGCCUACCAAGGCGAUGAUGCAUAGCCGAGUUGAGAGACUGAUCGGCCACAUUGGGACUGAGACACGGCCCAAACUCCUACGGAGGCAGCAGUA
Molecule: ribosomal RNA, 240 nt
Filed under: uncultured Lactobacillus sp.
Lineage: Bacteria; Bacillati; Bacillota; Bacilli; Lactobacillales; Lactobacillaceae
Description: partial 16S ribosomal RNA
Rfam family: Bacterial small subunit ribosomal RNA
Source: RNAcentral